This is a small nuclear RNA of Choloepus hoffmanni (Hoffmann's two-fingered sloth), 107 nucleotides long. The record is from Ensembl. Lineage: Eukaryota; Metazoa; Chordata; Mammalia; Pilosa; Megalonychidae.
GUGCUCGCUUCAGCAGCACAUAUACUAAAAUAGGAACAAUACAGAGAAGAGUAACAUGGCCCCUGUGCAAGGAUGACAUGCAAAUGCAUGAAGCGUUCCGUAUUUUU